This 468-nucleotide ribosomal RNA is filed under the name uncultured bacterium. RNAcentral describes it as "partial 16S ribosomal RNA". It matches the Rfam family "Bacterial small subunit ribosomal RNA", at positions 28 to 507 of the family's 1533-position model. The record is from RNAcentral.
GACGAACGCUGGCGGCGUGCUUAACACAUGCAAGUCGAACGGAAAGGCCCUGCUUUUGUGGGGUGCUCGAGUGGCGAACGGGUGAGUAACACGUGAGUAACCUGCCCUUGACUUUGGGAUAACUUCAGGAAACUGGGGCUAAUACCGGAUAGGAGCUCCGGCGCCAGGGUGGGGGUUGGAAAGUUUGGGCGGUUGGGGAUGGACUCGCGGCUUAUCAGCUUGUUGGUGGGGUAGUGGCUUACCAAGGCUUUGACGGGUAGCCGGCCUGAGAGGGUGACCGGCCACAUUGGGACUGAGAUACGGCCCAGACUCCUACGGGAGGCAGCAGUGGGGAAUAUUGCACAAUGGGCGGAAGCCUGAUGCAGCAACGCCGCGUGCGGGAUGACGGCCUUCGGGUUGUAAACCGCUUUCGCCUGUGACGAAGCGUGAGUGACGGUAAUGGGUAAAGAAGCACCGGCUAACUACGUG